Molecule: transfer RNA, 69 nt
Filed under: Aquila fasciata
Lineage: Eukaryota; Metazoa; Chordata; Aves; Accipitriformes; Accipitridae
Description: Hieraaetus fasciatus tRNA-Ala
Source: RNAcentral
AAGGUCCUAGCUUAAUUAAAGUAUCUGAGUUGCAUUCAGGGGUUGCAGGGUAAUGUCCUGCGGAUCUUA